UGUCGUGAGAUGUUGGGUUAAGUCCCGCAACGAGCGCAACCCUUGUGUUUAGUGCCAAACAGGUCAAGCUGUGCACUCUAGACAGACUGCCGUGGACAACACGGAGGAAGUGGGGAUGACGUCAAAUCAUCAUGCCCCUUAUGAUCUGGGCUACACACGUGCUACAAUGGACCGGUACAACGGGCAAGCGAAGGAGCGAUCCGGAGCGAAUCCUAAAAAGCCGGUCCCAGUUCGGAUUGCAGGCUGAAACUCGCCUACAUGAAGUUGGAGUUGCUAGUAAUCGCGAAUCAGAAUGUCGCGGUGAAUGCGUUCCCGGGUCUU
Molecule: ribosomal RNA, 321 nt
Filed under: uncultured Fusibacter sp.
Lineage: Bacteria; Bacillati; Bacillota; Clostridia; Eubacteriales; Fusibacteraceae
Description: bacterial SSU rRNA
Rfam family: Bacterial small subunit ribosomal RNA
Source: RNAcentral